CAGCGGAGGGAUCAUUACAGAGUUGCAAAACUCCCUAAACCAUUGUGAACGUUACCUAUACCGUUGCUUCGGCGGGCGGCCCCGGGGUUUACCCCCCGGGCGCCCCUGGGCCCCACCGCGGGCGCCCGCCGGAGGUCACCAAACUCUUGAUAAUUUAUGGCCUCUCUGAGUCUUCUGUACUGAAUAAGUCAAAACUUUCAACAACGGAUCUCUUGGUUCUGGCAUCGAUGAAGAACGCAGCGAAAUGCGAUAAGUAAUGUGAAUUGCAGAAUUCAGUGAAUCAUCGAAUCUUUGAACGCACAUUGCGCCCGCCAGCAUUCUGGCGGGCAUGCCUGUUCGAGCGUCAUUUCAACCAUCAAGCCCCCGGGCUUGUGUUGGGGACCUGCGGCUGCCGCAGGCCCUGAAAAGCAGUGGCGGGCUCGCUGUCGCACCGAGCGUAGUAGCAUACAUCUCGCUCUGGUCGCGCCGCGGGUUCCGGCCGUUAAACCACCUUUUAACCCAAGGUUGACCUCGGAUCAGGUAGGAAGACCCGCUGAACUUAAGCAUAUCAAU
RNAcentral lists this ribosomal RNA (552 nucleotides) under Chaetomium sp. NC1. Its description in RNAcentral is "eukaryotic LSU rRNA". The stretch from base 193 to 346 matches the Rfam family "5.8S ribosomal RNA". The record is from RNAcentral. Lineage: Eukaryota; Fungi; Ascomycota; Sordariomycetes; Sordariales; Chaetomiaceae.